CGGCCGGACGGGUCCGUCGGGAAAUCCACGCGCCCAACGCGUGGGCGUCCGGCGGAUACCAUCCGGCUUGGGACCGAACGACCCGAGGGGUACGUCCGGGGUAGGAGUGAAAUCCCGUAAUCCCGGACGGACCGCCGAUGGCGAAAGCACCUCGGGAGGACGGAUCCGACGGUGAGGGACGAAAGCUGGGGUCUCGAACCGGAUUAGAUACCCGGGUAGUCCCAGCCGUAAACGAUGUUCGCUAGGUGUGGCGCCGACCACGAGUCGGCGCUGCGCCGCAGGGAAGCCGCUAAGCGAACCGCCUGGGAA
RNAcentral lists this ribosomal RNA (309 nucleotides) under uncultured archaeon. RNAcentral describes it as "bacterial SSU rRNA". It matches the Rfam family "Archaeal small subunit ribosomal RNA", at positions 526 to 834 of the family's 1478-position model. The record is from RNAcentral.